UGAAACACGGACCAAGGAGUCUAACAUGUGCGCAAGUCAUGGGGUUGUAAACCCAAAGGCGUAAUGAAAGUAAAGGUCAAUUCGGUUGACCGAGGUGAGAUCCCCGCAAGGGGCGCAUCACUGUCCCAUCGCAUCUGCUUGUCAGAGCGGUGGAGAAAAAGCGUACACGCUGGGACCCGAAAGAUGGUGAACUAUGCCUGAGCAGGAUGAAGUCAUCGGAAACGGUGAUGGAGGUCCGUAGCGGUUCUGACGUGCAAAUCGAUCGUCAGACUUGGGUAUAGGGGCGAAAGACUAAUCGAACCAUCUAGUAGCUGGUUCCCUCCGAAGUUUCCCUCAGGAUAGCUGGCACUUAAACGCAGUUUUACCCGGUAAAGCGAAUGAUUAGAGGCCUUGGGGACGAAACGACCUCAACCUAUUCUCAAACUUUAAAUGGGUAAGAAGUCUCGCUUGCCUGACCGAAGCUCAGACAUUGAAUGCGAGUGCCAAGUGGGCCAUUUUUGGUAAGCAG
RNAcentral lists this ribosomal RNA (508 nucleotides) under Tripyla glomerans. Its description in RNAcentral is "LSU rRNA". It matches the Rfam family "Eukaryotic large subunit ribosomal RNA", at positions 655 to 1147 of the family's 3401-position model. The record is from RNAcentral. Lineage: Eukaryota; Metazoa; Nematoda; Enoplea; Triplonchida; Tripylidae.